Long non-coding RNA from Fundulus heteroclitus (mummichog), 1463 nucleotides. RefSeq lists it as uncharacterized. The record is from RefSeq and is a predicted model, not a curated record. The transcript is spliced from 2 exons. NCBI's taxonomy places the organism in Eukaryota, Metazoa, Chordata, Actinopteri, Cyprinodontiformes, Fundulidae.
UAUUUUUGACACUUUGAUUGGAAUGUUAUCCAGAUUUUUUUUUUAGAUAUGCAUGUCAAAACAAACAAUUUCAUCUGUAAGGGCAAUGUCCGAUCAUUUGAAUGAUACAAGAUGACGUGUGUAGGGUUAACCAGGGAAAACAGUUCCUGCCCUUUGAAAGAUUACAAUCUGGGGUUGUUGAUGAAACGAACCAUUAAACGGGGACAAAAGCUGAAAUGGCAAACAUUUGUUGUAAUUUCAGCAUUCUUCUAUCAUAAAAACGGGCUUUGAUUCAUAUUUUCCUCACUAACAUCUCAGUUAUUAGAUGAAAUGUGAAUUAAUCUAAUCUUUGUAUUUAAACAGCUACAGAGAAUAUAUCUUACCAUUUUAAAAAAAUAAAAUGCUGCCUGCUUUUUUUUUUUUAAAAAUGCGAACAUAUGAUGGAUCUGGUGAAUGGAGCUAAAAUGGCAGCUACAGACUCAAACUUAUGUCAGAAAUUACAAUGUGGGGUGCGCCGGUGGCUCAGGGGUAGAGCUCACAACCCGAGUUUGAAGGCGGCCGUCCCGGGUUGGAGUUCCUGUCAGUUUUCUGGCCACUGGUGCCUAAAAAGAAAAUACAUUGGAUUUUUCUUUUUGUUUCUUGAUUAAACGAUUGCCCUCUUCGGAGAUUUCUACUCACAGAAUUCCCUAUCUACAGUAAAUCUGGGCAUCAAUAAUGAAAACUGACAUUUCCUCCAUAAUGGUGGUACAGAUGUGAAGUCAGGCAUAAUAAUGGGCCCAGAGAUUCAGGUCAAAUAAAAACCUUGACGUGUCUGCGGUGGUGAAGAAGGUUCGGCAUAUUGACCAAAAAUUGGCUGGUAAUUCAAAGACAUGGCCAGAAACUGAAGUGUAAUGGGAUGUAGAAUUAAUUCGUAACACCAUCAUUUCAUGCAAAAAACAAAACAACUUAUGCAGAUAUCUUUUUUUUUUUCUAUCAAAGAUGUUUUAGAAAUCGUUGUGAGGAUAAAUUUGCAUGUUUUCCUAAUGUCAGGCAGCCCCACCCUGCACUUUAUUAAAAUUAGGGAUCAGACAAAGGAGGAACCCAUCAGCAGAGCUGCUUUCCUGCCCCUUCUCUGCUCGCGUCUCUUUGCCAUUGUAGGAGAAAUCCAGACACACUUGAUAUUAACUUGAGCUAAACAAGUAGCCUGAUUUUCUGUUUGUCUGCUGUGAAGAAAGUCGUCGUUUCUGCACAAUAGCCUGCCUCCUGUAUGAUGGAGGAAUGAGCUGGUUUGCAUCCCCUUCGCUCAGCUGUGAGAGUGAAACCCAGCUGCGACGUGCCUUCAGACAAUCCAACCAGAUUGUCUCGAUGUUUUCAUGAACAUUCGUCGCAUUCAUCUGUGAAGCUGACUUUGGAUGGUUUUUAGGCCUGCGUGUUAUUAUUUCUCUCUUAAAUGGGAAAAAAAUCAGAUUUAUUUCAUGAAAUUUCUAACAUUUUCAGGGCAAAAA